RNAcentral lists this small RNA (562 nucleotides) under Pongo abelii (Sumatran orangutan). Its description in RNAcentral is "processed transcript". The record is from RNAcentral. Lineage: Eukaryota; Metazoa; Chordata; Mammalia; Primates; Hominidae.
CUCUCCUCUCCUGCUAUAGAGGGCUCCGACAGCAGUUCCCAGCUAGCGUGUUCAGCCUGCCUGCCUGCCUGCCUCUGUGUGUGUGUGAGCGUGUGUGCGUGCGUCUACUUUGUACUGGGAAGAACACAGCCCAUGUGCUCUGCAUGGACGUUACUGAUACUCUGUUUAGCUUGAUUUUCGAAAAGCAGGCAAGAUGUCCAGCACACCACAUGACCCCUUCUAUUCUUCUCCUUUCGGCCCAUUUUAUAGGAGGCAUACACCAUACAUGGUACAGCCAGAGUACCGAAUCUAUGAGAUGAACAAGAGACUGCAGUCUCGCACAGAGGAUAGUGACAACCUCUGGUGGGAUGCCUUUGCCACUGAAUUUUUUGAAGAUGACGCCACAUUAACCCUUUCAUUUUGUUUGGAAGAUGGACCAAAGCGAUACAGAACCAAGAAUGUAAGACCAAUUGGGGAAAAAAUGAAUAUUAAUGGCAAAUGGUUCUUAUGCAUCACAGCCCACCUCAUUCCCUAGUUCCCUCUGUAGGAUUAAUUGUCCCUUCUGUCUGUGCCAGUGGCAUGU